GUGCCAGCAGCCGCGGUAAUUCCAGCUCCAAUAGCGUAUAUUAAAGUUGUUGUGGUUAAAAAGCUCGCAGUUGAACCUUGGGCCUGGCUGGCCGGUCCGCCUCACCGCGUGCACUGGUCCGGCCGGGCCUUUCCCUCUGUGGAACCCCAUACCCUUCACUGGGCGUGGCGGGGAAACAGGACAUUUACUUUGAAAAAAUUAGAGUGCUCCAGGCAGGCCUAUGCUCGAAUACAUUAGCAUGGAAUAAUAAAAUAGGACGCGCGGUUCUAUUUUGUUGGUUUAUAGGACCGCCGUAAUGAUUAAUAGGGACAGUCGGGGGCAUCAGUAUUCAACUGUCAGAGGUGAAAUUCUUGGAUCAGUUGAAGACUAACUACUGCGAAAGCAUUUGCCAAGGAUGUUUUCAUUAAUCAGGAACGAAAGUUAGGGGAUCGAAGACGAUCAGAUACCGUCGUAGUCUUAACCAUAAACUAUGCCGACUAGGGAUCGGACGGUGUUAUUCAUGACCCGUUCGGCACCUUACGAGAAAUCAAAGUGCUUGGGCUCCAGGGGGAGUAUGGUCGCAAGGCUGAAACUUAAAGAAAUUGACGGAAGGGCACCACCAGGGGUGGAGCCUGCGGCUUAAUUUGACUCAACACGGGGAAACUCACCAGGUCCAGACACAAUAAGGAUUGACAGAUUGAGAGCUCUUUCUUGAUUUUGUGGGUGGUGGUGCAUGGCCGUUCUUAGUUGGUGGGGUGACUUGUCUGCUUAGUUGCGAUAACGAACGAGACCUUAACCUGCUAAAUAGCCCGCAUUGCUCCGGCAGUGCGCUGGCUUCUU
This 819-nucleotide ribosomal RNA is filed under the name uncultured fungus. RNAcentral describes it as "SSU rRNA". It matches the Rfam family "Eukaryotic small subunit ribosomal RNA", at positions 564 to 1412 of the family's 1831-position model. Lineage: Eukaryota; Fungi. The record is from RNAcentral.